UCGUAGUUGGAAACUUUACUUUACAAAGUCAUCCAAAGAAUGUGCCUGAUUUAUAUAUAGUAAUGUUAUCUACAAAUAUUUUAACUUCUAAUGUAACUUGGAUCAUUUUAUUCUUUUGGCUGCAUCAGUUGGUAGAGUCUGUCUAACCAAGGUUGUCAAGGAAUUCAAGAAACGCAUUUCCAGCCAACAUGAAUGGGUAUGAUGGUCUUUCUCCAUUAAACUAUUCCUUUCCUUCUUAACGUUAUUGAUACUGCCUAUUUUAAAGAAAUUCUUACAUAUUGCAUGUACUAGUGACUCGUGUGAACAUAAAUUUGGUUUUCCCUUUUCUUUUUAUCAUCUAUUUGGCAGAUCAGUUCUUGCAAUGAGAGUGGAACUUUGGCAGAUUUUUGACAGGACAUAGGAGAAAGGAAUGUGAUUUAAAGUUGCCGGAGGAGCAAUGAAAAUGUAGUUGUAUAUAGAUUAGGACAAGUUGGUAUUGUAGCUAUUUUCAUGGAUUCCUACACUUCAAAUGAUUUUGUGAAGUGGAUUAUCAAAGUUCAAUGAAGUGUUUCUUUUGUUCUUUUAUUCUUGGUUUUUCUUUAUAUAUGAAGUUCAAUUUAUAGCGACAACAUAUAUGUGUUUAUAACAAGCAACAUAACCUCAACACAAAUAUGCAGUGUGAGCUGGAGUCACAAGACAAAAUGUUGAUUGAACGUUUUUUAUUUUUCAAUCACACGACACUUAAAUGUUGAGUGAAGCACCUCGGCACGACAAAAACCAUGAUAAACUAUGAUAAUGCUUCUUUCAGACAACAUUUAAAUGUGGUUACAUUGUAGAGUCUAAGCGGAAAAGUUAAAAGUUUGUGGUAGGAAUAGAAUUGAAAGUACAAUUAAAUGUCGUCUGACAGAACAACUAGCAAAAUGUAUAAUAGUUUACAAAGUUAGAUGACAGAUAAGUGACAUUAGAUCUUCUAUAUAACCACAUAUAUUACAAAUUUUUGACGUUGUAAGCUCACACACUCAACACUUUAUUGAAGUGUGAUUAGAUAGAAAAAUCCAAUAAAUCAAAUUAUUCUUCAAUCAGUCCACACUUAUAUGUGGUAGGUAUACAAAACAGACGACAUUUGAUGUGUCUUGUGAUAUGAUAUUACAAUUUUUUGAUGUUGAUUUAGUCCACACUUAACUGUGAUGCGUUUACUGAAAUUUUUCAAUCUUCUCUCUUCUCAGACGACAUAAGAUAUGUCGUGUGAUGUCGUAUCAGACGACGGCUAUUCUCCGUCGUCUGAUAGUCCAUCACUCGACAGCUCCUCAGACGACAUAAAAAAAAACAUCAGACUACAGACUUGGACUGUCGUCUGAUGAAGUAUAUGGCCUAGUGCCGGGUUUGUUGUUUACAACCCGGUGCACCAUUUCUUGGUGUAGGGGUUAGACCUGCAGGUGAGGAUCAGUAGGGUUGAGGUGGAAGAUUAGUGGCAGGGUUUUUUUUUGUUGGGUUUUGGUUGUUCAUUGUAUAUUCUUUUUUUUUAUACAUUGGGAUAGAAAUUAUUAAACUCAUGUGAGUGUUUCAUUUUCUUGUCUCUCAAGUUAUGUAAACAAGGAAAUAUAAUAUUUAACUCAAUUUGGAGUUGUGUGUAAAUUUACAUUCCGCAUUGAGUUUAUUUUCCUUGAAUUUUGUUGAAACAGGUUUUGGGAUAUUAAUAUUUUAAGAUAUAUCAUGCCAAAAUUUUAAAAAUUAUCUUUCGAAAAUUGGGGUGUGACAACAACACAGCAGGACGCGCUGCCACGGGCCGCCAAUGGCGGCGGCGAGUGAGCCCCACGCGCCACCACCAACUUUCAAAUUUGAGAAAACUUACAACAGCAAAGUUGAAGCUUGAAGCAAGGUGAACAACUUUAAUACUUGAGGUUUCAACCAGUUCGGCCAAAAAUAGCCGAAAAACGCCACGAAACACCAACCCGAAUUCAAAAUCCAAACCUGCAAAUCCGGCGCCCAAACUUGAUUUUUAGGUCACCAAAGAGGUAUAAACAUCUCUAGAGGAAGGAGAGGAGCAAGACUCACCUAACUCUUACCGAAAACGCCGUCGAAAUCGCCGGAUUUCCGGCGAUACCGUAGCAUCUCCGCCACUUUAUGGCGGCAUCUAGGCGGCGAGACGGUAGGCGGUGUUGCCCCAGAAAUGGAGAGGGAACCUGCACGAGUCGAAUGGGACCGAUGGAGUCCGGUUUGGUGGCCGGAUGAGGGAGAACUCGGCUGGAGAAGAGAGAGAGCUCGGGAGCGUCGGGAGAGAGAGGAGAGAGAGAAGUGAGCUGACUUUUAGGGUUUCCAAAUUAACCCACACACAUUUUUCUACUUACACACUUUCCAAACCCGAAAACUAACUUCCUCUGCCUAUAACUUUCUCAUACGACAUCUGUUUCAGGCGUGCCGCAUUUUUACGAACUUGUAUCAACAAGCUCUACAACUUUCAAGAAGGAAGUUUUCGAAGAUAACUUACGGAAAAUAAAGUCAACUUUUGGCCUCUUAAAAGUCAAAGCACCUUAAAAUUUACUCCCGAAACUUCAACUUCGCACAACUAAAGAAUUUUCACAAAUAAUCCUUCAUUAAUUAUGGGAAUAAUACAAGAAAAAUGAAAUGAAAAUUUUGGGGUAUUACAGGGAAUACAUGGAGUUGAGGCAUAGUUAAUACUAUAGCUUCCGCUUAUUUGUAUAUAUAUAUAUAUAUUUUUUUGUUUUUUUGUUUUUUACCAUUAGAGUUGCUAUGAAAUAAUUAUGAAUGUUGGUUAUUGGACUAUUUUUUUAGAUUAGUAAAUAACUUGAGAGGUUUUGUGAAUUUGGGGAGUAUGAAGGCUCCAAGAGUAUAUAAGGUUGGAGUUUGAUUUUUAGAAGUGUUUGAAAAUGUUUUUUUUUAAUUUUUUAGGAAGGGUUGUCCAUUUUCAAGGGAGGUUAUGCCGAAUUUUUGGUAGCAUCUUUUUUGGAGGUGGUCCCGGUAGAGUUCAUUUCGGGGUGGUCCUGACAAUAUUUAUUGUAAAGUAAUAUAAGUUUUGAUGGUAAAGUAUUAUGGUGUGUUUGGAUACGGGUGAAUUCCUAGGAAUUUAAUCAAAAAUAAGGAAUUCUUAAUUUCUCAAGACUCUUUCCAUCGUUUGGAUUCUUAUUCCGUAGAAUUUUCCAUGGGAAAAUAAUCGUGGAAUUUGGGGGCUUAAAUUCCCGACUUAAAUUCCUCACAAAAUAGGCGUCAUUUGUCAAUUCUUUUAACUCAUGUUAGUCUAAAUACAAAUUCUUGUCAUUUUAAAACUCUACAUCAUAUAAUCCAAAGAAUAGAAUUUCCAAUUAAUAGAAUUUAAAUUCAAGGAAUUGUAAUUCCAGUGAUUUUAAAAUUUCUAUAGAAAUUGAAAUUAUUUUAUCUAAAUACAACAAAGUAAUAUAUGGUUAGUGGUAUAUAUUAUUUCAUUGCAAAUUAGCUAUGUUAUAUGAACUGAUACUUCAUUCAUUAGCUCUGCAUGGUAACUAGAGUGCUUAUAUAUAUUUUUUAAUGUUCCUUGUACUUAUUCACUGCAAUGUAAAAUAUUAAAUAUAUGAAUAUAUCUUAUGAUCAUUUCAGUUUAAGGACAAGACAUACAAUCAACGAAAUAAUGAACCAAGUAGCUUUAGAUUAUUAUACAUUUCAUUCUUUUCAGUCAUUUGAAUGUUGUUUCAUUAUCUAAGCUAUUAAGUAGAAACCAAGUAGCUCAUACUGAAUAUAAUAGGAUGUACUAAACCAGUUACCACUUUGCUGUUUCAAUCAUAUUGAUAAUGAUUUCCAGCAACAAAAGGCUUUGUUUUUUUUAAGAAAAACUUACUAAAGCAUUGUUAUAUUCAGUUUGGCAGGAGACACUUGAUGAGUAAAUGGUGGAUAUUGAGUUUGGUUAUGAAGCAGGAUGUAUCAUAGUACACCAUUACAGUUAGGAGGACUUUCUGCACUCUAGUGUACACCCACCAUUGUAGUUGCUUGUAUUUGGUUUGAUGUCUCUUUUUUGUAGUUUUUCAAGUUAUAUAUGGAACGACAAUUGUAGAUGUAUUAUAGGUCUUUUGAGAAAUAUUAGUAUAGAAAUGGAUCAAACACAGAUAGAACAAGUAAUUUCAAUGGCUUGGUGCAAAACCUCAAUGAGGGAAAAAGCACCAAGCAUGAUUAUUCCUUUAAUCUUCAAAAGAUUACAAGUGGUAAUUCUCACACAAUUACACAACUCAUACAAUGUUUUCUCUUCUUACUUCUCACACAAGUAACUUAAUUCAAGUAGCUCUAUCAAGUGAAAUUGAAUUGAAAUUCUGAGAUCUCACUCACUCAGCUAUACUAGUUCUCACACAACUAAUACAUACUGCAACUAAUUCUCACACAAUUAGUCUUUAUACAGCAACAACUAAGACUCAAACACUCUUACUUCUUCUCUCAGAAUUUAUCGCACAUCAAGAUGAUACUCUGAUGAAUAGCUUGAUUCUUUAACACAACCAGUUUCUCAGCUUCUUUUAGACUCGACUUCUCAGUAUGUUUUUGUUCUCAAAACUCAAAUGCAACCUGUAUGCAAGUAAGAAAAGAGAAACUCAGUCUAUCUUAGAUAUACACAAUCUUAGAUAUACACAAGUAGUUUGUAAGAUGAGCAUGAACACACAAUUAACUUAGAGACAAUGCUUAACACAGUUUUUUCUCAAUCAUACCAAAAAGCUUAUCUUUCUAAGCACAACAGAAGCAAUUUAUAGAGUGUGAAACACUCCCCCUUAACUGAUGCCUUUCAAUGACAAGAUCAAAUUUCGUUUAUGAAAAUAUGCAAUCAGUCCACCAACAGUUUGCACUUUCCAAAACGCAUAUACCAGUUUCAUGCUAUAACAUAACCAUUAGAUAAAACAUAAAUCAUUUUCUUAAUCACCUGAGAACAAUGAUUAUGCAUAUAGAAUCAGACAUGUUUAUGCAGGUACUGAUAUGUACAUUACUGAUAUGGAAAUAAGAUAUCCUGCAUAUUAUCAAUUAAUGUUUCCGAAAUGGAAGUCUUUAGAAAUAAGACUUUUCCAAAAUUUCAUCAUUCAAAAACUUAUCAACUUGAAAGCCAGAUCUACUUACCAUAUAUGAGAUAUUAAAAUCUCAUUACCUUGAUCUUUUGACAUGAUACCUUUGAUUAUAUCUUUGAACUAGACUUUAUGAUUUUUCUUGAUAUGAAAUCUUCUUUCCUCUUUUCCUUCCUUCAUUAGGAGUCCUUGUGUUGAAUAGGAAUAGCCAAUAUGCCAACAUUUUCCCCCGUUGGCAUUGCUAUUCAACACAAGAUCAAGACCUGUAAAACAGACACAGAACCAACAUAUAUAUACAGAAAGGAAAGCAGGCUUAAAGAUUUUCGAAUUAGUAUCCAUCAUUUUCUCAAUCUUCAAGAUAAAAAUCAAAAGAAGACACAAAAUAAUAAAUGACUGCAUGCAUAGUUCAAAGAAAACACAAAAUAUGUCUAGUGCUUAGGCACUUUUACAAACUAGAAAUAAGAUUUGAUGUUCUAGUCAUCGAAAAUCAAAAAGCAGAAAAUAAAACAAGAAAAUUGUUGUUGAUCCUUGAUCUUAAACAAGCAAACUGUUCUUGAUCCUUGAUCUUAUUCUCCCCUUGAAUAGCAAGCCAAAGAAAUAAUUACCACUUGCCCCAUUUAUCUUCAUCUGAAUAUUUCAUCUUUUCUUCUAGCUCCCAAGGAUUGAAUGGUUUCUUGGAACGAGGGUCAGCAGCCUCAUCCUCCUUCAUGAAAUCAAGAGAGCGCUUGGCACUUGAUGGUUCUGCAGUAGAAGCUUUUGGUUGAAAACCAAGAGGAACAUCUGAGUCAGCAAUGCUAGGAAGAUGGUGAGUAAGUUCAUUGAUUCUCCUUCCCAUGAUCAGAACAGCUUCAGUAAGAGCACCAAUCUAAGUCUGAAUGUCUUGUGCUCAGUCACUGGUCACCUUUUCCAAAGAAUCAAGAUAGACUGCUAUCUUGUUAGGAUCUGAAUCAUUUUCUAGGGGCACCAUAGGACGCCAUGGUUUGCCUUCAUACCAAGUGCCCGGGAAUGUCUUUGCCUUGUGAAACUCUGAAUGAAGCCUUGGAGAGAGAGGUGGAGGAGAAGAUUCAUCUAGAGGAGAGGGCACUGGCCUCCCUAUCCUAUCUAGAGAAAGGUUGGGAAGCAUUGGUUGUUUAUCCUUUGCCAUCAAAUAUCUGAAGUGAUUCCUGCACACAAAAACUGAAAAACCUAGUGAAGAAACUGUGUGGGGAAUGAAAAACUGCAGAGGCACCUCUUUAUAGGAAGGAAUACAGAAGUUGAAAAGGAAUGACGGUUCCUGAAAAGGCAUGCAAUAUCAAUGGACUUUAUUAGCAAUAUUGACUACCAUAACAAAUUUUCUUCAGUUCAAAGCCCAUUCCACAUGUCCACACAAUUUGAAAGACCAGAAAAAGUGGAAAAACAGAUGCAAAUCUCUAUUGCAAUCUUUUAGACUAACUCUGAAUCUCCUCUCAUUAGUGAAGGGAGAAAAUAAUUAAGGCAAAACACACAAUGAAGUAGAAGAAAUUUCUGUGUUGUUCAUAACUAAGCAAAGAUAAGAUCAACAAUCAAUUGUAUCCCUGUGUGUCUCAGCAGAAGUAGAAUUUGAGCCAAGUGACAGUUAGGAAUAGACAUGAAUAUUCUCAGAAAGGAUUCUUAUUUUUAGCAGGAGUUACAAACAACAACCAACUUUGUUCAUAACAACUAAAAAUACCAAGUGAUCAAGCCAUUCCUGUUUCUCCCCCAGUGUCUUAUAUUGUUCAUCACAACCAAGACAUGGUUACUUUAGGAAUAGCCUGGCCUGAAUGUGAGAUUCUUAUGUUUUUAUCUCACAUAUUAUGAACACCUAUAGAGUAAGUCAAAUGCAGCAACUCCCAAAUCAGUUGAUUUUAGGGUACAAGAUAUCCCAAGGCAUCAAUACUCAAGUGUCUGAUCAUUUUAGCCAAACCAGCUUUGAUCAACCUCCAUGCAUAUCAGCUAUUUAAAGAGGCCGCAAAUUUACUGCAAACAAUCAGCUUUUGGUCACAUUCUUUUGCAUUCUCUUAAUCACAUUUCCCUUUUUGCAAUUAUUGUUCCUAUCCCUGAGAAAUAUCAUGUCCAUUGUGUGUGUGUGCUGGCAUCAAAAGGUAUUUCUUGACAAGGCAUACAAGCAUCAAAAAUAUUAACCAGACUCACACCAUAUUUAGUUAUGAACAACCAUCUGAUUUCUACACAUCAUGGAGCUAAGAUCAAUAAUCAAAGACAAACUGUACAUAUGUUAUAAGAACCAUUUCAAGAGUUUAGACAUUAAGAUAGGGAUUUUUGCAAAUGCCUAAAGCAUUUCUGAGUUCUUCAAAUCGAUCGGUAGCAAGGGGUUUAGUGAAAAUAUCACCAAGUUGAUUAGCAGUAGAUAUGUAUUCCAUUUUUAGAAUAUGUUUCUCAACUAGAUCUCUGAUAAAAUGAUACCUGAUAGCAAUGUGCUUAGUCUUCGAGUGUUGCACUGGAUUUUUUGUGAUGUUGAUUGCACUGGUGUUGUCACACAGAUUAGUGUUGUCACACAGAUUAGUGAACUUACCUUGUGACAUCCUAUAGUUCCUUAGCAUAUUUUGCAUCCCCAACAUUUGAGUACAGCAGCUACCAGCUGCUACAUAUUCUGACUCAGUUGUAGACAAAGAUAUACAAUUUUGCUUUUUGCUAUGCCAAGCAACCAUAUUGUUUCCCAAGAAAAAACAUCCACAUGAUGUGCUCUUGUUAUCUUUAAGACUUCCUCCCCAAUCAACAUCUGAAUAACUAACAAUCUCUGCAUUAGUAUCACAAGUAUAUCUAAUUCCACAUGAAACUGUACCUGACACACAUCGAAUGAUUCUCUUGACUGCAGCUAAGUGUGAUUCUUUUGGAUUUGCUUGAAAUCUUGCACACACCCCAAGACUGAAUGAAAUGUCUGGUCUGCUUGCAGUGAGGUAAAGAAGACUGCCUAUCAUGCUUUGAUAUAAGGUUUGAUCUACUGGUUUCUCUUCUUUAUCAUGACAAAGUUUGACUGAAACACUUAUUGGAUUUGAAAUGCACUUCUUUGUUUCAAGACCAAACUUCUUCACCAAGUUCUCAGCAUACUUUGUUUGAGAUAAAAACAUUCUUGUAUCAUGUUGCUUUAUUUGAAGGCCAAGAAAAUAUAUUAAUUCACCACACAUGCUCAUUUCAAAUUCAUUGGUCAUAACAGAAGUAAACUGUUGGACCAAAGAAUCUGAAGUAGAGCCAAAAACAAUAUGAUCAACAUAUACUUGAGCAACCAUAAAAUGUUCUUUUUCAGUACGCACAAACAGUGUUUUAUCAACUUUACCUCUUGCAUAUCCUUUACCUACCAAAUAUGUAGAUAACUUGUCAUACCAUGCCUUGGAGCUUGUUUGAGACCAUACAAGGCUUUCUUUAGCUUGUACACAUGAUUAGGAUGAUGUGGAUCUUGAAAACCUUUAGGUUGUUCCACAAAGACUUCCCUCCUCUAGAAGACCAUUUAAGAAUGCAGUUUUGACAUCCAUUUGAUAGAGCUUGAAUCCUAGAUGACAUGCUAUUGCUAGUAGUAAUCUUAUGGAUUUAAGUCUAGCUAUUGGUGCAAAAGUCUCAUCAAAAUCCAAACCUUCAACUUGUGAGUAUCCUUGACCCACUAGCCUGGCUUUGUUUCUCACAACAUUUCCAUGCUCAUCACUUUUAUUUCUGUAGAUCCAUUUAGUUCCUACCACAUUUCUUGUUGUUGGUCUAGGAACUGGAUCCCACACUUGAUUUCUUGUGAACUGAAGCAAUUCCUCUUCCAUUGCCUUGAUCCAGUUAUCAUCUGUAAGAGCUUCCUUCACAUUCUUAGGUUCAAUUAGUGAGACAAAACCAAAAUGAGAAAUAAUAUUGAUAUUUCCUUGAUUUUGAUUUAGAAAACAUACCAAUGUUGCAUCCUUAAUUACCUCUCCUUAAGUUGCUCGUCUUCUGGUUAUAAUUCCUUCUUGCAUGUUUCCAAUAACAUCUAUCAUAGAAUGAUCCUUUUUUACUUGUCUAAAACCAGUUCUUGUUUUAGGCACUUGUUGGAGAUUUGAAUCAAUAGACUCAUCAGCUUCACUUCCAGUUUCAGCCUUACCAUUUAACUCAGUUUGAUCAUGAUCGGUAGUUUGACUGUCAUCUAAUAUUAUCUGUCUAUCAAAAAAUUCAUCCACAUACACAUUAAUAGAGACUAGGAAAGAUUUUGUUUCUUGUACACCCUAUAAGCUCGGCUAUUUAAGGAAUAUCCCAGAAAAAUACCAAUUUCACUUCUUGUUUCAAAUUUUCCCAAAUAUUGUCUAUCCUUGAAAAUGUAACAUGGAUUUCCAAAAACAUGCAAAUGACUUACAUUGGGUUUCUUACCUUUCCACAGCUCAUAGGGAGUAUUGUUGGUGCCAGGUCUGAGCAUUACCCUAUUUAUGAUAUAGCAUGCUGUGUUGAUUGCCUCAGCCCAAAUUUUUUGACUCAGUCCAGAAGAGUGCAACAUCACUCUUGCCAUGUCCAGUAGAGCUCUAUUUUUUCUUUCAACAAUACCAUUCUAUUGUGGAGUAGUAGGAGCUGAAAAGUUUCACCUUUAUCUGCAAGAAAAUAUACCCACGUAAAUCUUGUAAAAUCAUCAACAACAACCAAAAUAUAGCUCUUUCCUAUAUGACUUUCAUAUUGAGAUGGACCCAUUAGAUCCAUGUGCAGUAGCUCCAUUGCUUGAGAUGUAGGAAUUGAGUUGAUACUUUUAUAUGCAGAUCUUAACUGUUUCCCCAUUUUACAUCCUCCACAGAUUUUAUCUGUUCUAUCUCUGAGUUUUGGCAUGCCUCUUACAAUUCCUUGAUUUGACAAUUUUAACAAGUCCUGAAAGUUUACAUGACCAAGUCUUCUAUGCCAAAGAUCAAAAAUUUCCUCUGUGGAACUUGUUCCCAUACACAUCUGCACAUCAGGUGAAUCAUUAGCUAAUACAUGAUAUGACACGACCCACCCCGAAUUUCACCCUGAAACCCGGAGUAAGUCGUGCGGGGACCAUCUCCAAGGAAAAUUUACUGAAAAGAUUGAUAAAAUCUCCCUUGAAAAUGGACAACCCUAACUCGAAAAUUUCAAAAUACACUCUUAAUACAACACGUCCAAACAUCAUAUAAUUAACCUUCAGAAAUUCUAAACAUAAAAUACAGUAAUCCCAAAGUAUUCAGAGCUACUAGACACUAGCGGAAGCGAGAAAACACGAGUAGGUUAAACAUGUAACCUACUGAUGAAAACUGGCGGAAAUACGGGUGACUAUGCCUCGCCUCCUACUAGAUCCAACCCGAACUCUGCAGACUGGGCAAUUUAAAACGAAGAGCCCAGGGGAAAACAUGUGGAACAGUUAGAGUGAGUGGACAAAAAUAAAUUAAAAUAAAAGUAUUUCUUUAUGCUUCCCCAAUUUAAUUUCCAAAUAAAAUAAUACUGCAUGCAAUCGCUCAAAAGCGCUCAACUCAAAAACUGGCAACUUCACAACCAGCACCGGCUAGUCUCCAAAACUUAAUAAAAUACAGCAUCUCAAGCUAAAUUAUAUAUAAACAUAUAUAAGUGUAUGUAUUUACACUAGUCAGACUCCUUGUAUGAAUUCUAAAAACAAAUUAGAAAAAUAGAAAUUCAUAGAAGGUUACUAAGCUUGCGUCUAACGCUCACGUCACACCAUAAUGGAAUUGUAUCUCAGUAUGGCGAAAAAAGCACGAGUGUAUAUAUGUGUGGACUCCCUAUAUGAAAACCUAAAUAAACCAAAUAAGAAAAUAGUUUUCAUAUAGGGCUACUACGCUUGUGUCUAACACUCACGUCACACCAUAAUGGUAUUUUACCUCAUUAUGGCGGAUCAAACACGUAUGGCUAGCUAGCAUUUAUAUAUACAUACUAUCAUCAUAAACAUCCAAUAAACAUAUCCACCGAAAAUCUCAUUUUCGGGAUCUCUCCAAAGGAGGAAAAUUGCCAAAUAUCCGAGAAAUAAAUAAAUCUCAGGAAAAGAAAUAAAUGAUCAACAGAUAAUUCAUCGCAUGCUUUUCAAUUAAAAUAAAGGUCCACUCACAACUUAGGCCUAAGCCUGAUGACGCUCCGAGGCUUCCUCUGCUCGGGCCUCCUCUCGUCCUGUUCCAAAUAUAUAAUUAAUUUCCCACCAAAAAUCCAAUAAUUAAACAAAAUGGGCAAAAUUAAACGUGAGCCUCCCACACACUCAUCAUUGCCCAAAUUCGCCAUUCUUAACUCAAUACGGCUCAAACUUCGCCGAACAUACCGGCAGCCGUAAAAACAACUUCCCACAGAAUACGACUUAAAUCCUACGGCCGGAUUCUACAUUAAUUAACCGUCAAAAAAUACCAAAGUAAAUAACCGUAAAAUAACUUAAGAACCGGGGUGUGACAUGAUAACAAUUAUCAACUGAUCUAACUCCACCCAUUAUGUAGUCUCUCUUGUUGUUCAGAACUUGACACUUCUUUUUGUUGAACCAAACAUCUUCAAAAUCAUUUGUCAGUUGACUAAAACUCAGUAAAUUUGUAUUCAAACCUUCAACAUACAAUACAUUUUCAAGGUUUGGAAUGUUUGGUGUGUUGACAAUCCAUUUUCCUUUGAUUCCUGCUUGUCCUCCAUCACCAAAUGUAAUAGUACCUGAAAUAUUUCUGUUAGUGAAAGAAAUAAACCAUUCUUUGUUACCACACAUGUGUCUUGAACACUCACUGUCUAUGUACCACACAUCACUCUUUUUGCUGGAUAAAGCAGUCAAUGCAACUAAGCAGGUUGCCAUAAUAUGAGUUUCAUUUGAGUAGACAGAUGCACUCAGGCAAAAAGCUUGUAUUUCUUCCUUCUCUUCAUUCCUUGUCCAGCAUUUCACUCCUCUUCUUUCCUGCAUUCUUUCUUCAUAAAUCAUGUUAGACAUUUGACGAAUAAGGUUCAUACGUUCAUUCAUUUCUUUAUGUAGAAUUUCAAAUUUAUCACCCUUAGCAGUAUAUUGAGAAGAUCCAUUUAUGCAAUUUGGUCUGAUAUGACCAAUCUGUCCAUAGUGAUAACAAGUAAGAACAAAAGGUUUCCUCGAAACAUACCUUUUCUCAGUCGAUUUAGGAAUGACUAUUUUUACUUGUUGUUUUUCUUCAGUUUCCAACACUAGUUGUUCUUCCCCUUUUUCUUUAACAAACCUUGUGACAUUGGAGCUUUCACCAGUGUAUCCAAGUCCAAAUGUAUCCUUAUGUGCUUUUCCUAUACUGAGAAUAUUUGAGACUAUCUUUGAACUUGUUUGAAAUUGACUAAAUUUUUCCCUUGACUUUCUCAACUCAGCCUGCAACAAAACAAUUUCAGAGUUUAGCUCAUUAAUUUUCAAAUCUCUUAACUCUAUUUUAGAUUCUAAAUUUACACAACUACUGCUAAUGAACCAGUGUUUUUGAUAUUUUCAUUCUUCAACUCAGUUUGCAACUUUUGAAUACUGUUGUUGAACUCAUUUCUUUCAUUUUCCCAAAACUCCUAUUCAGACUGCAAUAUGUUUUCAGUUUUCUCUUGCUGUUCUGGUUCCUGGAGAACCUUCACCUGUUUCUUCAAGACAUUAUUCUUGUUGUUCAAGAUUUUUGAGGCAUUGUACAAUUGAUCAUAUUUGUCGUCUAGUUUCCUCCUGUCAAAAAAAUCAUCACUAGAAUCAUCAUCACUAGAACACACACUGUCAGUAUCAGAAAAAGACUCACAUGAGUCAAAUCUUAUAGAAGAAACGAAAGCAAAGUUCCUUUCUCCUUUUCUGAGGGAAUGUUCUUCAUCACUAUCACUCUAGGAAGUAGCUUUGAGUGCCCUUUUUUCACCAGUGCCCCUAUCCUUGAAUUUUUCACCUGCUUCAUUCUUUCUAUUCCCACAAUCAGUUGAAAUAUGACCAUAACCAUCACAUUCAAAGCAUUUCGGUCUAUAAUUCUUCAUUUCAAGCUUGUUAUGACUUCUAGAGUUUUUCUCAAAUCGAUUUUCAGAAUUUUUAUUUCUUCUUGAAUCAUGAAAGUUUUUAGAAGAACUAGAAUUUUGAUUGUUCCUAGAUUUCAAAAGUUUUUUGAAUUCCUUUGUGAGCAAAGCAUAAUCAAUAUUUUCAUCUUCCUGAUCAAUUUUAGAAGAGUUUUUCAAAGCCACACUCUUCUGUUUCUUAUCAGACCAAGAGCUAUCAGCAAUCAUUUUUAAUUCAAAGGUUUUAAGAUUACUUACUAAAUAUUCCAGAGAAUAUUUAUUUAAAUUGUGUACCUCCAUGAUAGCUGCCUUCUUGGGAAGGUACUUCCUUGGCAAAGCUCUAAGAAAUUUUUUCACCACCUUGUGCUCCUCAAACGGUUCAUUCAAGCUCUGACAUUGACCUAUAAUGUUAGUUACCCUUAAAUAAAAAUCAUUAAGCAACUCAUCCUCACCCAUUUUUAAAUUUUCAAAUUCUUUAGCAAGAAUCUGAAGUUUCUGGAUUUUGACAAUCUCACAUCCUUCAUGUGAAGUAACAAGCAUGUCCCAAGCUUCCUUUGCAGUGUCACAGUAUUGAAUACGCCUUCUUUCCUUAACACCAAGUGCAGUGAAUAAUGCAUUUUUAGCAACAUAAUCAGCAUUACAUAAGGCUUGCUCAUCUGCUGACCACAAGUCGACUGGUUUUAAUUGAACUCUAGAUGUAUUCUCUGAUUUCACAACUGGAGCUUUGUAACCUGAUUGAAUAAUUUUCCAUGCCUUUGCAUCCAAGGUGUAUAUGAAUGUUCUCAUCAUGAUCUUCCACUGUGGAAAAUCAUCACCAUCAAAUUUUAGAGGUUGAUUUACUGCAUUUCUUUCCAUUUCAAAAGUGGAUCUACUAGACACUUACUAGCACUUGCUCUGGUACCAAAUAUUAGUAUAGAAAUGGAUCAAACACAGAUAGAACAAGUAAUUUCAAUGGUUUGGUGCAAAACCUCAACGAGGGAAAAAACACCAAGCAAGAUUAUUCCUUUAAUCUUCAAAAAGACUACAAGUCGUAAUUCUCACACAAUUACACAACUCAUACAAUGUUCUCUCUUCUUCUCACACAAGUAACUUAAUUCAAGUAGCUCUAUCAAGAGAAACUGAAUUAAAAUUCUGAGAUCUCACUCACUCAGCUAUACUAGUUCUCACACAACUAAUACAUACUGCAACUAAUUCUCAUACAAUUAGUUUUUAUGCAGUAGCAACUAAGACUCAAACACUCUUAGUUCUUCUCUCAAAAUUUAUCACACAUCAAGAUGAUAGUUUGAUGAACAGCUUGGUUCUUUAACACAACCAGUUUCUCAGCUUCAUUUAGACUUGGCUUCUCAGUAAGCUUUUGUUCUCAAAACUCAGAUGCAACUUGUAUGCAAGUAAGAAAAGAGAAACUCAGUCUAUCUUAGAUAUACACAAGUAGUUUGUAAGAUGACCAUGAACACACAAUCAACUCAAAGACAAUGCUUAACACAGUUUUUUCUCAAUCAUACCAAAAAGCUUAUCUUUCUAAACACAGUAGAAGCAAUUUAUAGAGUGUGAAACACUCCCACUUAACUGAUGCCUUUCAAUAACAAGAUCAAAUUUCGUUUAUGAAAAUAUGCAAUCAGUCCACCAACACUUUGCACUUUCCAAAACGCAUAUACUAGUUUCAUGCUAUAACAUAGCCAUUAGAUAAAACAUAAAUCAUUUUCUUAAUCACCUGAGAACAAUGAUUAUGCAUAUAGAAUCAGACAUGUUUAUGCAAGUACUGAUAUGGACAUUACUGAUAUGGAAAUAAGAUAUCCUGCAUAUUAUCAAUUAAUGUUCCUGAAAUGGAAGUCUUUAGAAAUAAGACUUUUCCAAAAUUUCAUCAUUCAAAAACUUAUCAACUUGAAAGCCAGAUCUACUUACCAUAUAUGAGAUGUUAAAAUCUCAUUACCUUGAUCUUUUGACAUGAUACCUUUGAUUAUGUCUUUGAUCUAGACUUUAUGAUUUUUCCUGGUAUGAAAUCUUCUUUCCUCUUUUCCUUCCUUCAUUAGGAGUCCUUGUGUUGAAUAGGAAUAGCCAAUAUACCAACAUUCUCCCCCUUUGGCAUCGCUAUUCAACACAAGAUCAAGACCUGUAAAACAGACACAAAACCAACAUAUAUAUACAGAACGGAAAGCAGGCUUGAAGAUUUUCGAAUCAGUUUCCAUCAUUUUCUCCAUCUUCAAGAUAAAAAUCAAAAGAAGACACAAAAUAAUAAAUGACUGCAUGCAUAGUUCAAAGAAAACACAAAAUAUGUCAAGUGCUUAGGCACUUUUACAAACCAGAAAUAAGAUUUGAUGUUCUAGUCAUCAAAAAUCAAAAAGCAGAAAACUUAAAAUAGACUCUACCAGGCUCUAAGCUGCUUCCGCCAUUGUCUAACACUUAUAAUAGAUUUAUAUUGUGAAAUAGUUUCUCUCUAACUCAAAAAGAAGUUGAGCUAAAAUAAGAUUGCACCUAAAACCUGUUCUAUUUUCAUUCAGCUGAUCAAGUGGAUCCGGUAGCCCACUUGUCUUUGGAAGAGGAGAGGAGCACGCGCAAUGAAGGCUAAAGAAAGAAACACACCAAUUCAAAAAGGACAAAAUAUUCUUCAAAAUAAGUUUGCAUUCUUCCAAAGGCGAGUGAUUUUUUUUUUCCUAACCUGACGAUGAUAGAUACGACGAGGAGAGUGUUGAAAUUUCCAGAUAUGAGAUUGCCGCAACAACAUCAGUGAUAUCGUCAUCUUCGGGGAAAGAAUCGAUCUGCAAUAAAAAUUGGGGGAGAUGGCUGAGUAGGUGAUGGUCGAGGGCUGAGUGAGAGAGAAGGGAGGGCUCGCGCAGGUGUUAAGGAGAGAGAGUUGAAGGGCUAAGGAGUUUGUUGGGAGAAAGAGGCUGGGGAUUUUUGGGAGAGACCGAUGAGAAAGCUGAGAGGCACGGUGGAAUGAACUAGAUUGUUAAAUGUGGGUUGAAUGGUUGAGAGAGAAAUAUGUUUUGGUUGCGCUGUUGAGGUUUUGGUUGGGUUGUAGUUUUUUUUUGUUUUGUUUAAGUGUUAGGGGAGAAUUUAAUUUUGGGCUGAAAUAUAGGGGAAGGUUUGAGCACAUCAAUAUUUCAGACAAGCGCCAAUUAAUUGGCAUUCAUUUCGACAAGUAAUCACAUGACGUAACAACUAUAAACGUGGUUUGAUGGCCAAAAUUUUAGGUUUCAAUAUUCCCUCCAUCACAUUUCGUGUUCCUUCUUACAAGUUUGGGGCUGAAUUUGGGGGAAUGUUGGAGGGAAAUAUUGGCGGACAUGGUUUUGCUGAAAAUACACACAAUUACACCAUAGUUUUUAUACGAAACGUCGUAUCACUCUUACAUGUUGGACACCUUACAACUUAGGAAGGUUGAUGCUCAAAUUUUUACACAUUCACACCACGAUUUCUAAAGAAACUGACAUCUAAAAAGUUAAAAAUUAGUCACACAACGGGUUCUCACUAUACAUCGUCUGAUAGACAUUGUCUGAUGCUGGUUUUUGUGGUAGUACUUGACAAAAUCGAUGAAGCUUGAUGGGGGGUGAGUACUCCUACUAAUACCCAAGAAAAAUUAUAAAAUGAACUAAGGACAUGGAAGGAGAGGAAGAAUGGAAUGAUGGUGAGGAGAAGGGAAGGGUGUGUGCGGCCGACUCCCAGAGAGAAAGAAUGAGAUAAUAGGUCAUGGCGUGGUUUAGCACCUUCAGCUUUGCAUUUGAGGGAAACAAGGUGCCAUGUGGCAGCUUGUCAUUGGUUGAGCUUGAGAGAAAUUGCACCUUGUGCACGUGAUGGAGAAGAUGGUCAAUUAAAUGAUCAAUUAAACAUCUGGGGCAUGUUUACUUACAUGGAAUGAAAUUGAAAAGUGAGGGAAUAAUUCUGGCAGAGGAGAAUUCCAGCGUUUACUUACACAUAAUAGAAUUGGAAUGGGUGUGGGUCCCACCUCCUAAUAAAGAAUUGAUUCCUUGACAACCCUGAAUUGAAAUACCAAGGGGGGAGGUGGGAUUAAGAAUGAUACCAUCAGGAAUGAACUUUUAUUCCGAAAAUAUCCUCUUUAAUUUUAUAUGCUAAUAAUAUUGAGGAAUUUGUUUAAGAUGCU
Molecule: long non-coding RNA, 16992 nt
Filed under: Fragaria vesca (wild strawberry)
Lineage: Eukaryota; Viridiplantae; Streptophyta; Magnoliopsida; Rosales; Rosaceae
Description: long non-coding RNA (FVES_LNC003682)
Source: RNAcentral